Scophthalmus maximus (turbot) is the source of this 4302-nucleotide long non-coding RNA. The record is from Ensembl. Lineage: Eukaryota; Metazoa; Chordata; Actinopteri; Pleuronectiformes; Scophthalmidae.
ACACACACACACACACACACACACACACCUGCUGCCUCCAGGAAGACAAACCACAGCGGUUCUGUCUGUUCUGUUCUGUUCUGUCUGUUCUGUUCUGUCUGUUCUGUUCUGUUCUGUUCUGUUCUGUUCUGUUCUGUUCUGUUCUGUUCUGUUCUGUUCUGUUCUGUUCUGUUCUGUUCUGUUCUGUUCUGUUCUGUUCUGUUCUGUUCUGUUCUGUUCUGUUCUGUUCUGUUCUGUUCUGUUCUGUUCUGUUCUGUUCUGUUCUGUUCUGUUCUGUUCUGUUCUGUUCUGUUCUGUUCUGUUCUGUUCUGUUCUGUUCUGUUCUGUUCUGUUCUGUUCUGUUCUGUUCUGUUCUGUUCUGUUCUGUUCUGUUCUAUUCUGUUCUGUUCUGUCUGUUCUGUUCUGUCUGUUCUGUUCUGUCUGUUCUGUGUGUUCUGUCUGUUCUGUUCUGUCUGUUUUGUUCGUUCUGUUCUGUCUGUUCUGUUCUGUUCUGUCUGUUCUGUUCUGUCUGUUCUGUUCUGUUCUGUCUGUUCUGUUCUGUUCUGUCUGUUCUGUUCGUUCUGUUCUGUCUGUUCUGUUCUGUUCUGUUCUGUCUGUUCUGUUCUGUCUGUUCUGUUCUGUUCUGUUCUGUCUGUUCUGUUCUGUUCUGUCUGUUCUGUUCGUUCUGUUCUGUCUGUUCUGUCUGUUCUGUUCUGUCUGUACUGUUCUGUCUGUUCUGUUCUGUCUGUUCUGUCUGUUCUGUCUGUACUGUUCUGUUCUGUUCUGUCUGUUCUGUUCUGUUCUGUCUGUACUGUUCUGUCUGUUCUGUUCUGUUCUGUUCUGUCUGUUCUGUCUGUACUGUUCUGUCUGUUCUGUUCUGUCUGUUCUGUUCUGUCUGUUCUGUUCUGUUCUGUCUGUUCUGUCUGUUCUGUUCUGUCUGUUCUGUCUGUUCUGUUCUGUUCUGUCUGUUCUGUCCGUUCUGUUCUGUCUGUUCUGUUCUGUCCGUUCUGUUCUGUCCGUUCUGUCUGUUCUGUUCUGUCUGUUCUGUUCUGUUCUGUUCUGUUCUGUCUGUUCUGUUCUGUCUGUUCUGUCUGUUCUGUUCUGUUCUGUCUGUUCUGUCCGUUCUGUUCUGUUCUGUCUGUUCUGUUCUGUUCUGUUUUGUUCUGUUCUGUCUGUUCUGUUCUGUCUGUCUGUUCUGUUCUGUUCUGUCUGUUCUGUUCUGUCUGUUCUGUUCUGUUCUGUUCUGUCUGUUCUGUUCUGUCUGUUCUGUUCUGUCUGUUCUGUUCUGUUCUGUCCGUUCUGUUCUGUCCUGUCUGUUCUGUCUGUUCUGUUCUGUUCUGUCUGUUCUGUCUGUUCUGUUCUGUUCUGUCCGUUCUGUUCUGUUCUGUCUGUUCUGUUCUAUUCUGUUCUGUCCGUUCUGUUCUGUUCUGUCUGUUCUGUUCUGUUCUGUUCUGUUCUGUUCUGUCUGUUCUGUUCUGUUCUGUCUGUUCUGUUCUAUUCUGUUCUGUUCUGUCCGUUCUGUUCUGUUCUGUCUGUUCUGUUCUGGUCUGUUCUGUUCUGUCUGUUCUGUUCUGUCUGUUCUGUUCUGUUCUGUCCGUUCUGUUCUGUCUGUUCUGUCUGUUCUGUUCUGUUCUGUCUGUUCUGUUCUGUCCAUUCUGUUCUGUCUGUUCUGUUCUGUCCGUUCUGUCUGUUCUGUCUGUUCUGUUCUGUUCUGUCCGUUCUGUCUGUUCUGUCCGUUCUGUCUGUUCUGUUCUGUUCUGUCUGUUCUGUUCUGUCCAUUCUGUUCUGUCCGUUCUGUCUGUUCUGUCCGUUCUGUCUGUUCUGUCUGUUCUGUUCUGUCUGUUCUGUUCUGUCUGUUCUGUUCUGUCCGUUCUGUUCUGUCUGUUCUGUUCUGUCUGUUCUCUUCUGUCUGUUCUGUUCUGUCUGUUCUGUCUGUUCUGUCCGUUCUGUUCUGUCUGUUCUGUUCUGUCUGUUCUCUUCUGUCUGUUCUGUUCUGUCUGUUCUGUUCUGUUCUGUUCUGUUCUGUUCUGUCUGUUCUGUCUGUUCUGUGUGUUCUGUCCGUUCUGUUCUGUUCUGUCUGUUCUGUCCAUUCUGUUCUGUCUGUUCUGUCUGUUCUGUCCGUUCUGUUCUGUCUGUUCUGUCUGUUCUGUUCUGUUCUGUCCGUUCUGUCCUGUCUGUUCUGUCUGUUCUGUUCUGUCUGUUCUGUCCGUUCUGUUCUGUCUGUUCUCUUCUGUCUGUUCUGUUCUGUCUGUUCUGUUCUGUCUGUUCUGUCCGUUCUGUUCUGUCUGUUCUGUCCGUUCUGUUCUGUCUGUUCUGUUCUGUCCGUUCUGUUCUGUCUGUUCUGUUCUGUCCGUUCUGUUCUGUCUGUUCUGUCCGUUCUGUUCUGUCUGUUCUGUUCUGUCUGUUCUGUUCGUUCUGUUCUGUCUGUUCUGUUCUGUCUGUACUGUUCUGUUCUGUCUGUUCUGUCUGUACUGUUCUGUCUGUUCUGUUCUGUCUGUUCUGUCUGUACUGUUCUGUUCUGUCUGUUCUGUUCUGUCUGUACUGUUCUGUCUGUUCUGUUCUGUCUGUUCUGUCUGUACUGUUCUGUCUGUUCUGUUCUGUCUGUUCUGUUCUGUCUGUUCUGUUCUGUUCUGUUCUGUCUGUUCUGUCUGUUCUGUUCGUUCUGUUCUGUCUGUUCUGUCUGUUCUGUUCUGUCUGUUCUGUUCUGUCUGUUCUGUUCUGUCCGUUCUGUCUGUUCUGUUCUGUCUGUUCUGUUCUGUUCUGUCUGUUCUGUUCUGUCUGUUCUGUUCUGUCUGUUCUGUCCGUUCUGUUCUGUUCUGUCUGUUCUGUUCUGUUUUGUUCUGUCUGUUCUGUUCUGUCUGUCUGUUCUGUUCUGUUCUGUCUGUUCUGUUCUGUCUGUUCUGUUCUGUUCUGUCUGUUCUGUUCUGUCUGUUCUGUUCUGUCUGUUCUGUCUGGUCUGUUCUGUCUGUUCUGUUCUGUUCUGUCCGUUCUGUUCUGUCCUGUCUGUUCUGUCUGUUCUGUUCUGUUCUGUCUGUUCUGUCUGUUCUGUUCUGUUCUGUCCGUUCUGUUCUGUUCUGUCUGUUCUGUUCUAUUCUGUUCUGUUCUGUCCGUUCUGUUCUGUUCUGUCUGUUCUGUUCUGUUCUGUUCUGUUCUGUUCUGUCUGUUCUGUUCUGUUCUGUCUGUUCUGUUCUAUUCUGUUCUGUUCUGUCCGUUCUGUUCUGUUCUGUCUGUUCUGUUCUGGUCUGUUCUGUUCUGUCUGUUCUGUUCUGUCUGUUCUGUUCUGUUCUGUCCGUUCUGUUCUGUCUGUUCUGUUCUGUUCUGUCUGUUCUGUUCUGUCCAUUCUGUUCUGUCUGUUCUGUUCUUUCCGUUCUGUCUGUUCUGUUCUGUCCGUUCUGUCUGUUCUGUUCUGUCUGUUCUGUUCUGUCCAUUCUGUUCUGUCCGUUCUGUCUGUUCUGUCCGUUCUGUCUGUUCUGUCUGUUCUGUUCUGUCUGUUCUGUUCUGUCUGUUCUGUUCUGUCCGUUCUGUUCUGUCUGUUCUGUUCUGUCUGUUCUCUUCUGUCUGUUCUGUUCUGUCUGUCUGUUCUGUCCGUUCUGUUCUGUCUGUUCUGUUCUGUCUGUUCUCUUCUGUCUGUUCUGUUCUGUCUGUUCUGUUCUGUCUGUUCUGUUUGUUCUGUCUGUUCUGUGUGUUCUGUCCGUUCUGUUCUGUCUGUUCUGUUCUGUCUGUUCUGUCCAUUCUGUUCUGUCUGUUCUGUCCGUUCUGUUCUGUCUGUUCUGUUCUGUCCGUUCUGUUCUGUCUGUUCUGUCUGUUCUGUUCUGUCUGUUCUGUCCGUGUUGUUCUGUCUGUUCUCUUCUGUCUGUUCUGUUCUGUCUGUUCUGUUCUGUCCGUUCUGUUCUGUCUGUUCUGUCCGUUCUGUUCUGUUCUGUCCGUUCUGUUCUGUCUGUUCUGUUCUGUCCGUUCUGUUCUGUCUGUUCUGUCCGUUCUGUUCUGUCUGUUCUGUUCUGUCUGUUCUGUUCUGUCUGUUUUGUCUGUUCUGUUCUGUUCUGUUCUGUUCUGUUCUGUCUGUUCUGUCUGUUCUGUUCUGUCUGUUCUCUUCUGUCUGUUCUGUCUGUUCUGUUCUGUCCUAUCAGGUUUUCCUGCAGUGGAACAUGUGACUCUGUCCAGAUCGACACCAACAUCUCGUGGACUCUUUCUUCCAACAAGUUCACUGGAAAAUCUUCUUUUAAUCCUGAUGACAGACAAUAUUUCACCUGUAUGUCUCAUAUUUCCAGCCCCCACGAGACAGACAUUGAUUUUGCCCCAGUAGCACGAGACGUUUCAGGCUGA